This 460-nucleotide ribosomal RNA is filed under the name uncultured bacterium. Its description in RNAcentral is "bacterial SSU rRNA". It matches the Rfam family "Bacterial small subunit ribosomal RNA", at positions 35 to 507 of the family's 1533-position model. The record is from RNAcentral.
GCUGGCGGCGUGCAUAACACAUUCAAGUCGAACGGUGAUGAGGACUUCGGUCCUCUGAUCAGUGGCGACGGGUGAGUAACGCGUGAGCAACCUGCCCUAUAUUGCGGGAUAACAACCGGAAACAGUUGCUAAUACCGCAUGACGUAUUCGGAUCGCAUGUUCUGAAUACCAAAGAAUUUUGAUAUAGGAUGGGCUCGCGUCCGAUUAGGCAGUUGGUGGGGGUUAAACGGGCCCACCAAACCGACGAUCGGUAGCCGAACUGAGAGGUUGAACGGCCACAUUGGAACUGAGAUACGGUCCAGACUCCUACGGGAGGCAGCAGUGGGGAAUAUUGGGCAAUGGGCGAAAGCCUGACCCAGCGACGCCGCGUGAGGGAAGAAGGUCUUCGGAUUGUAAACCUCUUUCAGCAGGGAAGAAGCAAGUGACGGUACCUGCAGAAGAAGUCACGGCUAACUACGUG